UGGGGAAUAUUGCACAAUGGGCGAAAGCCUGAUGCAGCGACGCCGCGUGAGGGAUGACGGCCUUCGGGUUGUAAACCUCUUUCAGCAGGGACGAAGCGCAAGUGACGGUACCUGCAGAAGAAGCACCGGCUAACUACGUGCCAGCAGCCGCGGUAAUACGUAGGGUGCAAGCGUUGUCCGGAAUUACUGGGCGUAAAGAGUUCGUAGGCGGUUUGUCGCGUCGUUUGUGAAAACCAGCAGCUCAACUGCUGGCUUGCAGGCGAUACGGGCAGACUUGAGUACUGCAGGGGAGACUGGAAUUCCUGGUGUAGCGGUGAAAUGCGCAGAUAUCAGGAGGAACACCGGUGGCGAAGGCGGGUCUCUGGGCAGUAACUGACGCUGAGGAACGAAAGCGUGGGUAGCGAACA
Molecule: ribosomal RNA, 407 nt
Filed under: Pseudomonas sp.
Lineage: Bacteria; Pseudomonadati; Pseudomonadota; Gammaproteobacteria; Pseudomonadales; Pseudomonadaceae
Also listed under: 7 other names
Description: partial 16S ribosomal RNA
Rfam family: Bacterial small subunit ribosomal RNA
Source: RNAcentral